GAGUGCUAGGUUUGGGGGCACUACCUUAAGUUGUGAAUUUCCGAUUAACAAAGAUUGUGAUUCAGCUGGCUAAAAUAUUUCUCUUAUUUCAGUCUAAUACACGUAACCUUGGUUUGGUGUCUAGAGAACCUUGUAAUCUCAUCUUUAGGCAUAUUUUGUAAAGAAAACUUUUUUGUUUGCCUUCUCAAUUUGGUCUGAUGGAUGAUCAGGCUGCCAGGCAUUCCAGCCCUUCUCCAUUUAAUAGGCCAAGGGUUAAAGCAUAGAGAAGAGGAUGAUAUGGAGAACUGUUCGUAUGUCAUCUGGAAAAAGAGGGGAGAUGAAAGAAUAUGAUGCAUAGCAGCGGAGAUGUGCAAGUUUCAUGGGCCAAAUAAUGUUCUGUCGACCAGAAAUGCAGAGCUCUAGCCGAAAUGCGGAGUGCUUUGUCGGUUAAUCUGCUAGUGUAUGGCUUCUGAGGAGGUGAAGAUGCUGCAUCAGAGAUGCUUGCUGACAAGGUGCACACAAAAGUCUUUUUUGCAAGUACUGAUACUAGGAUCUGUGUGGAAUGCAUGAACUUAGUAGUCACGUAGAUUUGAUUGUCAUUUAAAAACAUCCAUUUGUAGCCUGUAAAAUAGAUUUGUGCUUUGUAGCCUGUAAAAUAGAUUUGUGCUUUGAACGGCCAUUUGCUUCUUUUGUAUUGCACAUCAACAUCAUACAGAGAAGGCUGAGAGGUGAUUGUAUGGACUCUUUUGUUUAAUCUCGAUGUAUGAGCUCAUAUGGUUGAA
This is a long non-coding RNA of Panicum virgatum (switchgrass), 761 nucleotides long. RefSeq lists it as uncharacterized. NCBI's taxonomy places the organism in Eukaryota, Viridiplantae, Streptophyta, Magnoliopsida, Poales, Poaceae. The transcript has 3 exons. The record is from RefSeq and is a predicted model, not a curated record.